RNAcentral lists this long non-coding RNA (573 nucleotides) under Fukomys damarensis (Damara mole-rat). RNAcentral describes it as "lncRNA (ENSFDAG00000026424.1)". The record is from RNAcentral. Lineage: Eukaryota; Metazoa; Chordata; Mammalia; Rodentia; Bathyergidae.
UUCCAUCUCUUUUUGUACAUCAGCACAAACAGUCUCCAAGGCCUUUGGUGCCUCCACAGAAAAAACUUGUUUUGUUAUUUAAGACCUAGAAUUUAUGCCAAAUCCUAUGGUAUGAAGUAGAACAAAUUUUCCCUUCUAGGGACUUGAUGGUCAUGAAAACAUGCAGUGAGCAGUGAGCUGAGCCCCAGCUGCUGCGGAGAUCAAAGUGGAGAGGUCCUCUGGAUGGCACUGCCAGGCGAGAUGGGAGCUUUCCAGCCAUGCUGCCUGACAGAGAUGACCUUAUACACAGAGAGCUGUCUCAGCUGGUACUUCUUUAAAUGCGGGGGUGACACAGCAGAGCCACAAUUGCUGUUUGAAACUCGCCACCGCUUCUCCAAGGCAGUGCUAAGAGGAUGUGUGAAGUCAAUCCUAUUUUAACCUCAUCUGUGGACCUCUGACCGACCACGAAAUAGAAACACAGUGGUACCUGCCACUCCACCUGGGUUCUAGUGAGUGGAUUAUAAAACACAUUUCAGAACUCUAGCCUAUGGGUUGUUAGGUAUAGACUCAACUUUCAGAUGAACUACAUUCAGG